This is a long non-coding RNA of Ahaetulla prasina, 325 nucleotides long. RefSeq lists it as uncharacterized. The transcript has 3 exons. The record is from RefSeq and is a predicted model, not a curated record. NCBI's taxonomy places the organism in Eukaryota, Metazoa, Chordata, Lepidosauria, Squamata, Colubridae.
GACGCAAUCUGAAGUUGGGGACUUAUGACGUAAGGAAAGGGGUUUAAAAGAAAAUGUGUCGGCGAAAGGAAAAGAAUUGGUGAGCUGAGCCGGGGCGAUGAAGUAGCGGUGCAAGCCUCUGGUGGCUCAACAGACUAAGCAGUCUGUUAUUAACACAGCUGCUUGCAAUUACUGCAAGUUCAAGUCCCACCAGGCCCAAGGUUGACUCAGCCUUCCAUCCUUUAUAAGCUUGCUUCUCACAUUUCAAAGAAGGGUAAUGCCAGGAUUGUCUGUUCUCAGUGAAGCCAUAAAGUUUCCGCAAGGCCACACGAGCAGCCUCUUCUUC